AGGGAGCUUGCUCCCGGAUGUUAGCGGCGGACGGGUGAGUAACACGUGGGUAACCUGCCUGUAAGACUGGGAUAACUCCGGGAAACCGGAGCUAAUACCGGAUAGUUCCUUGAACCGCAUGGUUCAAGGAUGAAAGACGGUUUCGGCUGUCACUUACAGAUGGACCCGCGGCGCAUUAGCUAGUUGGUGAGGUAACGGCUCACCAAGGCGACGAUGCGUAGCCGACCUGAGAGGGUGAUCGGCCACACUGGGACUGAGACACGGCCCAGACUCCUACGGGAGGCAGCAGUAGGGAAUCUUCCGCAAUGGACGAAAGUCUGACGGAGCAACGCCGCGUGAGUGAUGAAGGUUUUCGGAUCGUAAAGCUCUGUUGUUAGGGAAGAACAAGUGCAAGAGUAACUGCUUGCACCUUGACGGUACCUAACCAGAAAGCCACGGCUAACUACGUGCCAGCAGCCGCGGUAAUACGUAGGUGGCAAGCGUUGUCCGGAAUUAUUGGGCGUAAAGGGCUCGCAGGCGGUUUCUUAAGU
RNAcentral lists this ribosomal RNA (530 nucleotides) under Bacillus stratosphericus. RNAcentral describes it as "bacterial SSU rRNA". It matches the Rfam family "Bacterial small subunit ribosomal RNA", at positions 73 to 588 of the family's 1533-position model. The record is from RNAcentral. Lineage: Bacteria; Bacillati; Bacillota; Bacilli; Caryophanales; Bacillaceae.